RNAcentral lists this ribosomal RNA (253 nucleotides) under uncultured bacterium. Its description in RNAcentral is "partial 16S ribosomal RNA". It matches the Rfam family "Bacterial small subunit ribosomal RNA", at positions 524 to 776 of the family's 1533-position model. The record is from RNAcentral.
UACGAAGGGGGCUAGCGUUGUUCGGAAUUACUGGGCGUAAAGCGCGCGCAGGCGGUUUUUCAAGUCAGUGGUGAAAGCCCGGAGCUCAACUCCGGAACUGCCAUUGAAACUGUAAAACUUGAGGAUGAGAGAGGUGAGUGGAAUUCCCAGUGUAGAGGUGAAAUUCGUAGAUAUUGGGAAGAACACCGGUGGCGAAGGCGGCUCACUGGCUCAUUUCUGACGCUCAGGCGCGACAGCGUGGGGAGCAAACAGG